RNAcentral lists this ribosomal RNA (485 nucleotides) under uncultured bacterium. RNAcentral's name for it is "partial 16S ribosomal RNA". It matches the Rfam family "Bacterial small subunit ribosomal RNA", at positions 29 to 506 of the family's 1533-position model. The record is from RNAcentral.
AUUGAACGCUGGCGGCAUGCCUUACACAUGCAAGUCGAACGGCAGCACGGGUGCUUGCACCUGGUGGCGAGUGGCGAACGGGUGAGUAAUACAUCGGCACAUGUCCUGUAGUGGGGGAUAGCCCGGCGAAAGCCGGAUUAAUACCGCAUACGAUCUACGGAUGAAAGCGGGGGACCUUCGGGCCUCGCGCUAUCGGGUUGGCCGAUGGCUGAUUAGCUAGUUGGUGGGGUAAAGGCCUACCAAGGCGACGAUCAGUAGCUGGUCUGAGAGGACGACCAGCCACACUGGGACUGAGACACGGCCCAGACUCCUACGGGAGGCAGCAGUGGGGAAUUUUGGACAAUGGGCGAAAGCCUGAUCCAGCAAUGCCGCGUGUGUGAAGAAGGCCUUCGGGUUGUAAAGCACUUUUGUCCGGAAAGAAAUCCUUGGCCCUAAUACGGUCGGGGGAGGACGGGACCGGAAGAAUAAGCACCGGCGAACUACGU